Carassius gibelio (silver crucian carp) is the source of this 1578-nucleotide long non-coding RNA. RefSeq lists it as uncharacterized. The record is from RefSeq and is a predicted model, not a curated record. The transcript has 4 exons. Lineage: Eukaryota; Metazoa; Chordata; Actinopteri; Cypriniformes; Cyprinidae.
AAGGUGAGUAAAUUAGCAUUAAUUAAUUAAUUAAAGGGAUGUAUCAAUUGUAAACUGUGAAAAUUACCAGAACCAUACCUUAUGACAUUCCUUGAUAACAUUCUCAAGGUCUUCUGCUACCUUAAUUCUGAAAAAGAAAAAAACAUAUACAGUAAUGAAUAAAAUGUAAGUGCUUACUGCUUUAAAAAAAUUCUAAGUUUACUGCCAUUAAUGCCUCCAAAACAUAGCAAAAAGUGCCAAGCUGUAACUUUUUUUAAUAAUUACAUUUUUAAUAAUUACUUGCUUGAUAGUAAUAUCAUAGUUUCUGUUUUUGAAUUCAGUUAGUCAUCUACAACUGAUUCAUAAAACCUAAUUACUAAAAAGAGUCACUCAUAAAAUGAUAACUAUAGCGAUACAUAUAAAAUAUAUAACGUUAUAUGCUUUAAGAAUCAUUCUAAGAAUAAAUUUCACACCACAACUAUUAUACACCUAACAUUAUAUUAUUCAAGAACAUGCAGAGAAAUCGGACAUACUCGCGCUAUAAAUCAUGAAAGUGUAAACUCCUAGUAAGAUCGCGAGUGCUAGGGUGUCAUUUGGGACAGGGCCUAAAUCCGAGACUGUCCUCCUCUUAAAAACGACCACAUAGGUCGUUUGUGCAAGCAGCAUAUUACGACCUAUUAUUACGUUUUAAAAUCAAGCGCCCUCUAGCGGCCGUAUUACGACAGUCUCGUUUGUCGGGUGUGUCGUCAUCAAAUGACCUUUGACUGUCGUUACCAUCGUUACCACCCAAAAAAAGGAGGCGUGACCCAACAUCUUACCAUGCGUUGUUGUCCAGGUUUGUAAACAAUUUUAUUUUAUGGUUUAUUUUUUAAGGUACUGUUCUGAUUGUCUGCAAUUAAUGUCAAAUUUUGCAGUUUCUUCAUAUCACAUACAUCUCCAGCUCCUACAACAACAUUCAGUGUCCAGCAGCUCUUUAUGAUGCUCUCUCUCUCUCUCUCUCUCUCUCUCUCUCUCUCUCUCUUUCUCUCUCACUCUCUCUCUCUCUCUCUCUCUCAUUUUCGUUUCCUAUUUUUCUGAACUGUAAUUCAUAAAUAAGUCACACAUAUUUUUCUUUCUUUCUCUUGUUCAUCAUGGCAUAUUUUCACAGCUCAGAAUCAGAUUUUGAUCAGUUCUUGUAUUAACAGGGAACUUGUACUCGAAGCUCAACUUGAAGAAGUUUCCAGUGAAGAUGAAGUCCUUCAAAGGUUCGACACAGCUGAAAAGGAAGACCAUGGGCCUGUCAAACCUUGUUUGUGGAGAGGGAUGAAUUUGACCAUCUUGUGUGUUUACGGAGAAGACCAAAAGCUGCUAAGGCAGAUAUUUCCAGAGGAUUUCUGACAGAUUACUGAGUCCUUCUCCAUCAGCUCUCCACAAUAGCAGCCCUUCCAAAAGCAUCCACAUCACUCUCUCUUGUGUGGCACAUCUGCUCUCAGUCGUUAGCAUGUCUACUUGUAUUAUUUCUCCUCUAGUCAACACUCCCAUCUCUACUGUGAACACUCCUGUCACUAUCACCAUCCCACCUACUGUAUUCUAUAUGCCAUAUAUAUAUAUAUAUAUAUA